UUUAAAGUGUAAUGUAAGUCGCUUUGGAUAAAAGCGUCUGCUAAAUGUAAUGUA
Gasterosteus aculeatus (three-spined stickleback) is the source of this 54-nucleotide non-coding RNA. The record is from Rfam. NCBI's taxonomy places the organism in Eukaryota, Metazoa, Chordata, Actinopteri, Perciformes, Gasterosteidae.